CAGCCGUAAACUAUGCUCGCUAGGUGUCAGGCAUGGCGCGACCGUGUCUGGUGCCGCAGGGAAGCCGUGAAGCGAGCCACCUGGGAAGUACGGCCGCAAGGCUGAACUUAAGGAUUGGCGGGGGAGCACAACAACGGGUGGAGCCUGCGGUUUAAUGGACUCAACGCCGGACAACUCACCGGGGGACGACAGCAAUAUGUAGGCCAGGCUGAAGACCUUGCCUGAAUCGCUGAGAGGAGGUGCAUGGCGUAGACGUCU
RNAcentral lists this ribosomal RNA (258 nucleotides) under uncultured archaeon. Its description in RNAcentral is "partial 16S ribosomal RNA". It matches the Rfam family "Archaeal small subunit ribosomal RNA", at positions 748 to 1009 of the family's 1478-position model. The record is from RNAcentral.